Molecule: ribosomal RNA, 305 nt
Filed under: uncultured bacterium
Lineage: Bacteria
Description: bacterial SSU rRNA
Rfam family: Bacterial small subunit ribosomal RNA
Source: RNAcentral
ACCUACGGGGCGCAGCAGUGGGGAAUAUUGCACAAUGGGGGAAACCCUGAUGCAGCGACGCCGCGUGAGCGAUGAAGUAUUUCGGUAUGUAAAGCUCUAUCAGCAGGGAAGAAGAUGACGGUACCUGACUAAGAAGCCCGGGCUAACUACGUGCCAGCAGCCGCGGUAAUACGUAGGGGGCAAGCGUUAUCCGGAUUUACUGGGUGUAAAGGGAGCGUAGGCGGCAGGGCAAGCCUGAUGUGAAAGCCCGGGGCUCAACCCCGGGACUGCAUUGGGAACUGCCCCGCUCGAGUGCCGGAGGGGCG